AUCGGUAGCGGGAGCUGAGAGCAGACCAGAGAGCCCUGCGCAACCCCACCGCCUCCGCCGGCCUAAUUACCAUCACACCCCGGGAGGAGCCGCAGCUGCCGCAGCCGGCCCCAGUCACCAUCAUUUCAACCAUGAGCAGCGAGGCUGAGACCCAGCAGCCGCCCGCCGCCCACGCCCUCAGCGCCGCCGACACCAAGCCCGGCACCACGGGCAGUGGUGCAGGGAGCGGUGUCCGGGGUGGCCUCACAUAGGCGGCGCCUACUGGCGGGGACAAGAAGGUCAUCGCAACGAAGGUUGUGGGAACAGUAAAAUGGUUCCAUAUAAGGAACGGAUAUAGUUUCACCAACAGGAAUGCACCAAGGAAGAUGUAUUUGUACCCCAGACUGCCGUAAAGAAUAACCCCCCAGGAAGUACCUUCGCAGUGUAGGAGAUGGAGAAACUGUGGAGUUUGAUGUUGUUGAAGGAGAAAAGGGUGCGGAGGCAGCACCCGUUACAGGUCCUGGUGGUGUUCCAGUUCAAGGCAGUACAUAUGGAGCAGACUGUAACCAUUAUAGACGCUGUCCACGUCGUAGGGGUCCUCCACACAAUUACCAGCAAAAUUACCAGAAUCGAGUGGGGAAGAGAACGAGGGAUCAGAGAGUGCUCCCGAAGGCCAGGCCCAACAACACCGGCCCUACCACAGGCAAAGGUUCCCACCUGACUCCAUGCGGAGACCCUAUGGGCGUCCACCACAGUAUUCCAACCUUCCCAUGCAGGGAGGAGUGAUGGAGGCUGCUGACAACCAGGGUGCAGGAGAACAAGAUAGACUAGUGAGGCAGAGUAUGUAUCGGGGAUAUAGACCACCGUUCCGCAGGGGCUCUCCUCGCCAAAGACAGCCUAGAGAGGACGGCAAUGAAGAGGAUAAAGAAAAUCAAGGAGGUGACACCCAAGGUCAGCAGUCACCUCAACGUCGGUACCUCCGCAACUUCAAUUACCGACACAGACGCCCAGAAAACCCUAAACCACAAGAUGGCAAAGAGACAAAAGCAGCCCAUCCACCAGCCAAGAAUUCGUCUGCUCCCGAGGCUGAGCAGGGAGGGCUAAAUGCCGGCUUCCCAUCUCUACCAUUAUACAGUUUAGUCAUCCAACAAGAAGAAAUAUGA
RNA transcript from Mandrillus leucophaeus (drill), 1142 nucleotides. It is a transcript of the gene named nuclease-sensitive element-binding protein 1 pseudogene, with no coding region annotated. The record is from RefSeq and is a predicted model, not a curated record. The transcript has a single exon. Lineage: Eukaryota; Metazoa; Chordata; Mammalia; Primates; Cercopithecidae.